GUCUACAGCCAUGCCACCCUGAACAAGCCCAAUGUCUGAUCUCAGAAGAUAAGCAGGGUCGGGCCUGGUUAGUACUUGGAUGGGAGACCACCUGAGAAAACCAGGUGCUAUAGGCA
Molecule: ribosomal RNA, 116 nt
Filed under: Pteropus alecto (black flying fox)
Lineage: Eukaryota; Metazoa; Chordata; Mammalia; Chiroptera; Pteropodidae
Source: RNAcentral